UCGAGAAUUUUUCUCAAUGGGCGAAAGCCUGAAGGAGCGACGCCGCGUGGGGGAUGAAUGGCUUCGGCCCGUAAACCCCUGUCAUUUGCGAACAAACCUCGCCAUUUAACAGACGGCGAGCUGAUUGUAGCGAAAGAGGAAGGGACGGCUAACUCUGUGCCAGCAGCCGCGGUAAUACAGAGGUCCCAAGCGUUGUUCGGAUUCACUGGGCGUAAAGGGUGCGUAGGUGGUUGGGUAAGUCUGAUGUGAAAUCUCCGAGCUUAACUCGGAAAUGGCAUUGGAUACUAUUCGGCUAGAGGGUUGGAGGGGGGACUGGAAUACUUGGUGUAGCAGUGAAAUGCGUAGAUAUCAAGUGGAACACCAGUGGCGAAGGCGAGUCCCUGGACAACUCCUGACACUGAGGCACGAAAGCUAGGGGAGCAAACAGGAUUAGAUACCCUGGUAGUCCUAGCCGUAAACGGUGCAUAUUUGCUGUAAAAGGAAUCGACCCUUUGUGGCGAAGCAAACG
RNAcentral lists this ribosomal RNA (508 nucleotides) under uncultured Verrucomicrobiota bacterium. RNAcentral describes it as "bacterial SSU rRNA". It matches the Rfam family "Bacterial small subunit ribosomal RNA", at positions 355 to 857 of the family's 1533-position model. Lineage: Bacteria; Pseudomonadati; Verrucomicrobiota. The record is from RNAcentral.